AAAAAGCUCGUAGUUGGAUCUCAGUUCCAGACGGGUGGUCCGCCUAACGGUGGUUACUGCCUGUUCUGAACAGCCAGCCGGUUUCUCUUGAUGAUCUUCACCGGUUGUCUUGGGUGACCGGCAAGUUUACUUUGAAAAAAUUAGAGUGCUCAAAGCAGGCGCGACGCCUGAAUAAUGGUGCAUGGAAUAAUGGAAUAGGACCUCGGUUCUAUUUUGUUGGUUUUCGGAACACGAGGUAAUGAUUAAGAGGGACAGACGGGGGCAUUCGUAUUGCGACGCUAGAGGUGAAAUUCUUGGACCGUCGCAAGACGAACUACUGCGAAAGCAUUUGCCAAGAAUGUUUCCAUUAAUCAAGAACGAAAGUUAGAGGUUCGAAGGCGAUCAGAUACCGCCCUAGUUCUAACCAUAAACGAUGCCAGCCAGCGAUCCGGCUGUGUUCCUCAAAUGACACGCCGGGCAGCUUCCGGGAAACCAAAGCUUUUGGGUUCCGGGGGAAGUAUGGUUGCAAAGCUGAAACUUAAAGGAAUUGACGGAAGGGCACCACCAGGAAUGGAGCCUGCGGCUUAAUUUGACUCAACACGGGAAAACUUACCCGGCCCGGACACAGGAAGGAUUGACAGAUUAAGAGCUCUUUCUUGAUUCUGUGGGUGGUGGUGCAUGGCCGUUCUUAGUUGGUGGAGCGAUUUGUCUGGUUAAUUCCGAUAACGAACGAGACUCUAGCCUACUAAAUAGACGUUCCCAUCCGUGGAUGGGACGUUCUUCUUAGAGGGACAAGCGGCUUUUAGCCGCACGAGACAGAGCAAUAACAGGUCUGUGAUGCCCUUAGAUGUCCGGGGCCGCACGCGCGCUACAUUGAAGGAAUCAGCGUGUGCUUUCCCUGUCCGACAGGACUGGGUAACCCGUUGAACCUCCUUCGUGCUGGGGAUAGGGGCUUGUAAUUGUUCCCCUUGAACGAGGAAUUCCCAGUAAGCACGAGUCAUAAGCUCGUGUUGAUUACGUCCCUGCCCUUUGUACACACCGCCCGUCGCUACUACCGAUUGAAUGAUUUAGUGAGGUCUUCGGACUGGCGCUCGGAGCGGCCUAUCCGGUCACGCCGGCGUGCCGGAAAGAUGACCAAACUUGAUCAUUUAGAGG
RNAcentral lists this ribosomal RNA (1134 nucleotides) under Psammorygma sp. AcAT 2009/3351. RNAcentral describes it as "SSU rRNA". It matches the Rfam family "Eukaryotic small subunit ribosomal RNA", at positions 621 to 1779 of the family's 1831-position model. The record is from RNAcentral. Lineage: Eukaryota; Metazoa; Arthropoda; Arachnida; Araneae; Zodariidae.